GUGAAUCAUCGAAUUUUUGAACGCAAAUUGCACUCUCUGGUAUUCCGGAGAGUAUGCCUGUUUGAGGGUCAUUUUAAAUAAAAAUCGAUGUGGUUGCUGCCUUUCGUGUGGUGGCACCGAAGUUGGGUCGUCUUGCCGUCUGUUAAGUGGGCUAGAAUUUUACAUGAUUUUUUUCGAAGGUGUUUAAAUGAUUGUAAGUGCGUUUGCGAUAUAGAAUACUAAUAGUG
This 227-nucleotide unclassified non-coding RNA is filed under the name Glomeraceae sp. RNAcentral describes it as "partial contains 5.8S ribosomal RNA and internal transcribed spacer 2". The stretch from base 1 to 71 matches the Rfam family "5.8S ribosomal RNA", at positions 84 to 154 of the family's 154-position model. Lineage: Eukaryota; Fungi; Glomeromycota; Glomeromycetes; Glomerales; Glomeraceae. The record is from RNAcentral.